This 81-nucleotide non-coding RNA is filed under the name Paradevosia tibetensis. Its description in RNAcentral is "Youhaiella tibetensis ZMP/ZTP riboswitch aptamer (pfl RNA motif)". It matches the Rfam family "ZMP/ZTP riboswitch aptamer (pfl RNA motif)". Rfam says of the family: Previously known as pfl RNA. The record is from Rfam by way of RNAcentral. RNAcentral also lists the same sequence under 1 other name. Lineage: Bacteria; Pseudomonadati; Pseudomonadota; Alphaproteobacteria; Hyphomicrobiales; Devosiaceae.
CUGACCUCACGUGACUGGCGAGAUCGGGUGGAAAACCACCGUGGAGCGUGAGCGUAGCAGCCGUUCGCCUGGGCACCCUUC